Molecule: ribosomal RNA, 393 nt
Filed under: uncultured bacterium
Lineage: Bacteria
Description: bacterial SSU rRNA
Rfam family: Bacterial small subunit ribosomal RNA
Source: RNAcentral
AUUGAACGCUGGCGGCAUGCCCUACACAUGCAAGUCGAACGGCAGCACGGGGGCAACCCUGGUGGCGAGUGGCGAACGGGUGAGUAACAUAUCGGAACAUACCCUAGAGUGGGGGAUAACGUAGCGAAAGUUACGCUAAUACCGCAUACGAUCUAAGGAUGAAAGUGGGGGAUCUUCGGACCUCAUGCUCAUGGAGUGGCCGAUAUCUGAUUAGCUAGUUGGUGAGGUAAAGGCUCACCAAGGCGACGAUCAGUAGCUGGUUUGAGAGAACGACCAGCCACACUGGAACUGAGACACGGUCCAGACUCCUACGGGAGGCAGCAGUGGGGAAUUUUGGACAAUGGGGGGCAACCCUGAUCCAGCAAUGCCGCGUGAGUGAAGAAGGCCUUCGGG